Molecule: long non-coding RNA, 1048 nt
Filed under: Chloebia gouldiae (Gouldian finch)
Lineage: Eukaryota; Metazoa; Chordata; Aves; Passeriformes; Passeridae
Description: Erythrura gouldiae (Gouldian finch) lncRNA (ENSEGOG00005005551.1)
Source: RNAcentral
CUGGAAGGCUCUGCAGCCCUUCCACCUGGCAGGCAAUAAUUCAGAGCUCACACAAAGAGCCAGGAUGAGUCACUAGUCUGCUGAUUAGGCUGCUCUCCUGGGAGGGAGGCACCUGGAUCCCAGACCCAGGUAAUGGCUGCAAAGUAGAAGAGCAUCAGCUGGGAGGGAUUGGAAAUUCUUAAUGCUGCUGGUUGGGAGGCUCUUCAUGAGUGGGAGGCAUGAAUUUGAAUCCACUUGGAGAGGGCAGAGAGUUCAAUGCAGGUCUCCUAAAAUCUAAAGGAAAGGUCCUGCCUUAAAGUUAUUGAAAUGGGAGGAUUCUUCUUCAGCUGUUGGGUAUUGAAGUGGACAUUUGAAUUUGUUUUCUUAAAAGUGAUGGGUUUUGAUUCUGCAGAAUUCUUCCCGACUUUCUGGGGGACUUUUUUUUUUUUUUUUUUCAAGACCUAUAAGGCUUUUUUACCUGCAGGAUAGAUAAUUAUUCACACUCCCCUGUCUGGCAAUAUCCUACCAUGCCCUGGAAAGUGCUGAGAACACUCUUGUAUGUGCAGAAGGUGACAUGGUUUUUGGAAAUGAUCUGAUGGACUGUGAGUCAGCAAUGGCCACAGAAAAGUUUGAUGGAUCUGGCAGAACUUGUAGCUAUGAGAAGAAAAUGAGUAAUUUUUAUAUCUUGGGAAAGCGAUUGCUCCAGGCUAGUUUUGGCAGAAGAGCUUGUUCCUCAAAAGAAGGAAGGCAUGGAACAAAUUCAGAAGCAGGUCACAGUGAAAUUUUCUGGCUGAGUAGGCAACCAAGUCUUCAAGACUCAAGUCUCAAAACAGCAUCACACUGUAUUUUCUCUUUAGUUGUACAAAAUCUAAUAAAUGUCAAGUGCUCAAGACGUAUCUCUGGACAAAACUGGAUCUCUGAUGGAUCUCUUGGGAGAUUUUGAGUUUUCAUUUCAAAAUUUCUUCAGCUACAGUGGAGUGCAUUGGCCUAGAAGGUGUGUUUCUGCAGGGCCAUUGAUAGUGUCCAUACCUGCUGUCAACAGCAACUGGGGAAGGCAGGGAACCCAAAA